This 253-nucleotide ribosomal RNA is filed under the name uncultured bacterium. RNAcentral describes it as "partial 16S ribosomal RNA". It matches the Rfam family "Bacterial small subunit ribosomal RNA", at positions 524 to 776 of the family's 1533-position model. The record is from RNAcentral.
UACGAAGGGGGCUAGCGUUGUUCGGAUUUACUGGGCGUAAAGCGCACGUAGGCGGAUCGAUCAGUCAGGGGUGAAAUCCCAGAGCUCAACUCUGGAACUGCCUUUGAUACUGAAGAUCUUGAGUUCGGGAGAGGUGAGUGGAACUGCGAGUGUAGAGGUGAAAUUCGUAGAUAUUCGCAAGAACACCAGUGGCGAAGGCGGCUCACUGGCCAGAUACUGACGCUGAGGCACGAAAGCGUGGGGAGCAAACAGG